RNAcentral lists this long non-coding RNA (641 nucleotides) under Helianthus annuus (common sunflower). RNAcentral describes it as "hypothetical non coding rna". Lineage: Eukaryota; Viridiplantae; Streptophyta; Magnoliopsida; Asterales; Asteraceae. The record is from RNAcentral.
GCUCAUUUCUUUUCUUCUUCUCUCUAUACGUUGGUGUUCUAACCAAUAAUCACCGAUGCGAUGUUCUGUCCGAUCGAUUCAGGAACCAACUAACGGAUGCCAAAGUGCUAUACUUUGAGAGUUCGUUAAACGGAUGCCAAAGUGCUAUACUUUGAGAGUUCGUUAAACGGAUGCCAAAGUACUAUACUUUGUGAUUUCGGUAAACGGAAUCCAAAGUGUUACACUUUGUGCAAUUCAUUAAGGUUCGAAUCUGAUGACUACCGUUAAGGUUUGAUUUGGGUUUUACACAAAUACGUAUUCCAUUCUGUUAAACUAUAUGUUUAACUACCAAAAAUACUCCCAACUACACACUCACAAUCAAACAAACUAUUAAAUCAUCAGAAGAUCCAGAGUAAUAAAGUGCAUGCUUAAUUAUCGGAAGAAGUAGAAUCAAGAAGCUUGUUAACUCAAUCUUGCAUGCUUAUAAAGUAAUUACAGUAGAUUGGAGUAAGGAUUGGAUCCAGCACUAAAGGACUUCAAGAAGUGGCUUAUUUUAUUAAUUAAAUCAACUCAUUAAAUAUUAUUUUUGGGUUUAUCCCGUAUUAAAAGCUACCUUUGUAAAACAUGGAAUUUAUUCCAUCUAUUUAAAUAAAAUCCGGUGU